This is a long non-coding RNA of Astatotilapia calliptera (eastern happy), 1394 nucleotides long. Lineage: Eukaryota; Metazoa; Chordata; Actinopteri; Cichliformes; Cichlidae. The record is from Ensembl.
AAAGCUGGCUGAGGAUCUGUCCCCUAACGACCGCGCCCGAAGAAACAGACUCUGGUCGUCUGUGGAAGCUGCGCGCAACGAAAACAAGCUGGCGUUCUUCGUAGGAGGUCGUGCGUUCGUGGAGGGAAAAGAGAUUUUUCCAGCCCUAUAAUUUGAUCCAAGGUAUUUUGAGGUGAAAACUGAAGUAUCUUAAGAUUAACUUGGUUUCACUGCCGUUCUUUUUUUGUUUGUUUGUUUUUGUUGUUGGACUCAUAAAACGAUCAGAGUUAAACUGAUGCAGUUUAUUUGUUAUAAGUUUAUUGGUCUUCAGUUUGGCUGCAAUAUUUUUUACUGAAAAUGUUAUGAGCAAGCUGGAUAAGCUUCUUUUUAUUUUUUUUUUAUUUUUAUUCUUUUUUUGAAUAAUUAGUUAUUUAAAUGGAGCAAGAAAAUUUCUAUUAAGCUCCCUUUCAAUGCUCAUAUGUGAAGCGUUUAUUUAUUUUAUUUAUUUAUUUUUACCACAUUGGUUUUAUUGUUUUAGGCUAUUGUAUUCCUAUUAUUAUUCAAGUUCACAAUUUCCUUACUCAGGGGUUGCAGUUCUCAUCUUAUAUAGGACUCUCUUAAGUGACCAGGUUCAACUGUUCUUCAUUUACUUGGUUUAAGCUUUUUCUUAUUUGUCACUUUUAAUUUUUGUUACUAUCAUUAUGUCUCUGUCUGUUAUUUCUUUAAAUGCAAGAGGUUUAAGAAACAAUGUUAAACGUAAGGCUAUUUUUUUGUUUUGCAAGCAGUUCAAUUCAGAUUUCUGUUUUAUACAAGAGUCUCACUCAACAGAACAAGAAAAAACAUUUCGGAGAUCGCAAUGGGGAGAUGAUCUGUGGAUGUCUCAUGGUACAGAGCAUGCUGCUGGUGUCUGCAUACUUAAAGGAAGAUUUAAUGGUAAAAUCUUGAAUUCUGACAUAGAUAAAGAUGGUCAUUACAUUUUUCUAAUAGUUGAGGCUGCACACUCUAUCUAUAUUUUAGUCAAUGUGUAUGGUUUUAACUGUCAGAGGGAGAAUAAACUAUAUUUUGAUAGGUUGGAGGAGCGCCUACUGCGCUGGUUAUCUAAAUAUCCCAAUUCUUUUAUUAUUUUUGGUGGAGACUUUAAUACAGUGUUUAACAGCUAUUUGGACAGAUGGCCUUCUAGAAGUUUAGACUCUAACUCAUUCUUAAGACUGUUUGCACAAAGAUUCAACUUAGUCGAUUCUUGGAGGGAUUCUCAUUCGUCUCAGAUAGCUUAUACAUGGUGUAAUAAGACUCAAACCAGACACUCACGUAUCGAUUUUUGGCUUAUCUUAUAAGAUUUAGAAAAAGUUAAAACGGAUAUUUAUCCUACACCACUCUCAGACCAUAAAAUGGUUAGCUUAUCGAUCCCGUUGUCA